Molecule: ribosomal RNA, 468 nt
Filed under: uncultured bacterium
Lineage: Bacteria
Description: partial 16S ribosomal RNA
Rfam family: Bacterial small subunit ribosomal RNA
Source: RNAcentral
GACGAACGCUGGCGGCGUGCUUAACACAUGCAAGUCGAACGGAAAGGCCCUGCUUUUGUGGGGUGCUCGAGUGGCGAACGGGUGUUUAACACGUGAGUAACCUGCCCUUGACUUUGGGAUAACUUCAGGAAACUGGGGCUAAUACCGGAUAGGAGCCCCUGCUGCAUGGUGGGGGUUGGAAAGUUUCGGCGGUUGGGGAUGGACUCGCGGCUUUUCAGCUUGUUGGUGGGGUAGUGGCUUACCAAGGCUUUGACGGGUAGCCGGCCUGAGAGGGUGACCGGCCACAUUGGGACUGAGAUACGGCCCAGACUCCUACGGGAGGCAGCAGUGGGGAAUAUUGCACAAUGGGCGGAAGCCUGAUGCAGCAACGCCGCGUGCGGGAUGACGGCCUUCGGGUUGUAAACCGCUUUCGCCUGUGACGAAGCGUGAGUGACGGUAAUGGGUAAAGAAGCACCGGCUAACUACGUG